RNAcentral lists this ribosomal RNA (481 nucleotides) under uncultured bacterium. Its description in RNAcentral is "bacterial SSU rRNA". It matches the Rfam family "Bacterial small subunit ribosomal RNA", at positions 29 to 487 of the family's 1533-position model. The record is from RNAcentral.
AACGAACGCUGGCGGCGUGGAUAAGACAUGCAAGUCGAACGAGAUUACUUCUGGUAGCAAUACCGGGAGUAAUUUAGUGGCGAACGGGUGCGUAACACGUGGGCAAUCUGCCUUAAAGUGGGGGAUAGCUCGGCGAAAGCCGAAUUAAUACCGCAUAUGAUGAGGAGGGACAUCCCUUCGAAAUCAAAGAUGGCGCAAGCUAUCGCUUUUAGAGGAGCCCGCGGCCUANCAGCUAGUUGGUGAGGUAACGGCUCACCAAGGCAUUGACGGGUAGCUGGUCUGAGAGGACGACCAGUCAGACUGGAACUGAGACACGGUCCAGACACCUACGGGUGGCAGCAGUCGAGAAUUUUUCUCAAUGGGCGAAAGCCUGAAGGAGCGACGCCGCGUGGAGGAUGAAGGUCUUCGGGUUGUAAACUCCUGUCAUUUGGGAGCAAUGGUCAACGGUUUACUGCCGUUGACUUGAUAGUACCAGAAGAGG